This 501-nucleotide ribosomal RNA is filed under the name Escherichia coli. RNAcentral's name for it is "bacterial SSU rRNA". It matches the Rfam family "Bacterial small subunit ribosomal RNA", at positions 1031 to 1532 of the family's 1533-position model. Lineage: Bacteria; Pseudomonadati; Pseudomonadota; Gammaproteobacteria; Enterobacterales; Enterobacteriaceae. The record is from RNAcentral.
GAGACAGGUGCUGCAUGGCUGUCGUCAGCUCGUGUUGUGAAAUGUUGGGUUAAGUCCCGCAACGAGCGCAACCCUUAUCCUUUGUUGCCAGCGGUCCGGCCGGGAACUCAAAGGAGACUGCCAGUGAUAAACUGGAGGAAGGUGGGGAUGACGUCAAGUCAUCAUGGCCCUUACGACCAGGGCUACACACGUGCUACAAUGGCGCAUACAAAGAGAAGCGACCUCGCGAGAGCAAGCGGACCUCAUAAAGUGCGUCGUAGUCCGGAUUGGAGUCUGCAACUCGACUCCAUGAAGUCGGAAUCGCUAGUAAUCGUGGAUCAGAAUGCCACGGUGAAUACGUUCCCGGGCCUUGUACACACCGCCCGUCACACCAUGGGAGUGGGUUGCAAAAGAAGUAGGUAGCUUAACCUUCGGGAGGGCGCUUACCACUUUGUGAUUCAUGACUGGGGUGAAGUCGUAACAAGGUAACCGUAGGGGAACCUGCGGUUGGAUCACCUCCUU